UACGUAGGGUGCAAGCGUUGUCCGGAAUUAUUGGGCGUAAAGAGCUCGUAGGCGGUUUGUCGCGUCGAAUGUGAAAACCCGGGGCUCAACCCCGGGCCUGCAUUCGAUACGGGCAGACUAGAGUUCGGUAGGGGAGUCUGGAAUUCCUGGUGUAGCGGUGAAAAUGCGCAGAUAUCAGGAGGAACACCGGUGGCGAAGGCGGGACUCUGGGCCGAUACUGACGCUGAGGUGCGAAAGCGUGAGGAGCAAACAGG
Molecule: ribosomal RNA, 254 nt
Filed under: uncultured bacterium
Lineage: Bacteria
Description: partial 16S ribosomal RNA
Rfam family: Bacterial small subunit ribosomal RNA
Source: RNAcentral